This 484-nucleotide ribosomal RNA is filed under the name uncultured bacterium. RNAcentral's name for it is "partial 16S ribosomal RNA". It matches the Rfam family "Bacterial small subunit ribosomal RNA", at positions 28 to 507 of the family's 1533-position model. The record is from RNAcentral.
GAUUAACGCUAGCGGCAGGCAUAAUACAUGCAAGUUGAACGGCAGCACAGGUAGCACUACUGGGUGGCGAGUGGCGCACGGGUGCGUAACACGUAUGCAACCUACCCUAUACAGGCGGAUAACCUUUAGAAAUGAGGGCUAAUACGCCGUAGUAUUACAGAUGGGCAUCUAUUUGUAAUUAAAGAUUUAUCGGUAUAGGAUGGGCAUGCGUCCCAUUAGUUAGUUGGUAAGGUAACGGCUUACCAAGACGAUGAUGGGUAGGGGAUCUGAGAGGACUUACCCCCACACUGGUACUGAGACACGGACCAGACUCCUACGGGAGGCAGCAGUAAGGAAUAUUGGGCAAUGGCCGCGAGGCUGACCCAGCCAUGCCGCGUGCAGGAAGACGGCCUUAUGGGUUGUAAACUGCUUUUAUACGGGAAUAAUAGAGUGUACGCGUACAUUUAUGCAAGUAUCGUAUGAAUAAGCAUCGGCUAACUCCGUG